Molecule: transfer RNA, 74 nt
Filed under: Actinoplanes awajinensis subsp. mycoplanecinus
Lineage: Bacteria; Bacillati; Actinomycetota; Actinomycetes; Micromonosporales; Micromonosporaceae
Rfam family: tRNA
About the family: Transfer RNA (tRNA) molecules are approximately 80 nucleotides in length.
Source: Rfam by way of RNAcentral
CUGGGUGUGGUCCAGCUUGGUAGGACGCUGCCUUCGGGAGGCAGAGGACGGGGGUUCAAAUCCCUCCACCCAGA